GUGAAUGAUAGCAUAGUUCUACAGGAAGGAAGUGAAUGCAGGCCAAGAGAAAAUUUGGGGAAAAAAAUGAUGUGUUCAUGGGGUUUUCUAUGGAACAUUUAGGGAUUCCCACUCUUUAGAAUUCAAAAGAAACUCUAGUGAUACUAGAUUUGGAAAUAUGUGUAGAAGUAAUACAUAAAUGUAAGAUCAAUCAAUAAAAAUGUAUAAUGCACAAUAAGAAAAGAAUGCAGGACAAAAUACUAAGGAGCCCUGCUGUUGAGAGGUCAGCAGAACCAGCAUUGCCACUGAGGAGCACGGAGAAAGCUGGCGAAGCAUGCAGUAAGCAUAAUUCUGUCAGCACCUCCAAGGAGUGUGUAUGCACUUCAACAUCACUUACUCAUCUUAUAUCACCCACAAUGAAAGAGUGCUUCAGAAGAAAGUGCAACUAUUCAACACUUUUGAGUCUUGAAGUGGUGACAUCGGCUUUCUAUGGAACACAUUCUGCACUGGUAAAUUUCAG
Molecule: long non-coding RNA, 499 nt
Filed under: Heterocephalus glaber (naked mole-rat)
Lineage: Eukaryota; Metazoa; Chordata; Mammalia; Rodentia; Bathyergidae
Description: lncRNA (ENSHGLG00000027303.2)
Source: RNAcentral